AGAGUCCUCUUGUCCACUCCCACAUGCCUCUGGCUUCAACCCAGGCAGCGCCACAGGUGGAGAGGCAGCCCGAAGCAACAAGGCUACAUCUAGAAACGCCUUCCUCGGGGAAGGCCCGGCAGGGAGCUCCAGCCCUGACAGCGGCCUAGGGAGGAGCGGCCAGCUAGGAUGCCCGGUGCCGCGGAACUGCUAAGGAAAAGAAACAAAGAGGCUGCACUUUUGGACCAUAUUUAUUCAGACUUCCAUCCAGACCAAGAGUUUCCAUACUCAGGACACCACCCUUAUGCAGCCUGACCUUCUAUGACCCCUCAGUGUGAACCGCAAGCUUAGCACCUCCAGGCUUUAUUCACUCAUGGAUCCCACGUACCUGCAACAGUAUCUGGCACAUAGACACAGAGGUCACUAUUCCUAUUUCACAGUUGGAGAAAUUGACUCCUUGACUUGGCCAGGAUCACACAACUCCUGUUUUUUACCAGACCUUGUGCUCCCAUUCCAGCACCUUUUCCAGCGCAGAGUUCACUCGCAC
This is a long non-coding RNA of Manis javanica (Malayan pangolin), 526 nucleotides long. RefSeq lists it as uncharacterized. Lineage: Eukaryota; Metazoa; Chordata; Mammalia; Pholidota; Manidae. The record is from RefSeq and is a predicted model, not a curated record.